UUGUACCUCUGGCCUUUAUAUUGAUCACCUAGGAGUGUCAAUUUUGUGUUUUUAAUAAGAAAAUUGUAAUAAAAUUUUGGGGUUUCACUUGAGGUGAGAUUUUUGUAUUUGGGUUUGUUUUUACACAGUAGAGUUUAAUCCAUGUGUUGCUUUUCUUCAAGUAUAGUUUAAAGGAGUACAAUUGGAACGUGUUUUUGGAAAAAGCAUAUUAAUGUAGCAGAAGAGACUUCAGUGCACACUUUCGAAGAAAAAGUUUCUGAGCAUUAAGUGGUAAAAGGCAAUAAUAAUUUAAAUGAUGGUAACAAGCCAAUGCUAAAAAGAAUGCAUGUUCUGUGUAUCCAGCCAUUUCACAUGAACUAACCUCGUUUAAAAGAAUACAUGUUCCAUUCACUGUGCACAUACGUGUAAUCAUUUUGACUAAAAUCAAUUGCCAUUAUCAUGCCAACUAAAUCUGCAGUAGAAUAUAUUAAUUAGUUGCCAGAUACCAUACAAAAUACUGUUUAAAAAUAAUGAUGAUUGAUUGGAUUCCAGAAAUGAAUAGACGCAAUUUGUAAUAAUUAGUUAUAAUGCCAAGAAACACUCCAGAGAGUAAAGUUAAUCUUAAUUUUUAUGUGUAGUGCUAUGGUAAAGCCUUAUGUUAUGGUAGCAAAAAACGGCAUUUUUAUGCUAAAAUAUGUUGAAACUGAGAGAUGAGCCUAAUUGCUCUUCUU
Molecule: long non-coding RNA, 710 nt
Filed under: Bos taurus (domestic cattle)
Lineage: Eukaryota; Metazoa; Chordata; Mammalia; Artiodactyla; Bovidae
Description: long non-coding RNA NONBTAT023678
Source: RNAcentral